GAUGAACGCUGGCGGCGUGCCUAAUACAUGCAAGUCGAGCGAACAGAUGAGGAGCUUGCUCCUCUGACGUUAGCGGCGGACGGGUGAGUAACACGUGGAUAACCUACCUAUAAGACUGGGAUAACUUCGGGAAACCGGAGCUAAUACCGGAUAAUAUAUUGAACCGCAUGGUUCAAUAGUGAAAGACGGUUUUGCUGUCACUUAUAGAUGGAUCCGCGCCGCAUUAGCUAGUUGGUAAGGUAACGGCUUACCAAGGCAACGAUGCGUAGCCGACCUGAGAGGGUGAUCGGCCACACUGGAACUGAGACACGGUCCAGACUCCUACAGGAGGCAGCAGUAGGGAAUCUUCCGCAAUGGGCGAAAGCCUGACGGAGCAACGCCGCGUGAGUGAUGAAGGUCUUCGGAUCGUAAAACUCUGUUAUUAGGGAAGAACAAAUGUGUAAGUAACUAUGCACGUCUUGACGGUACCUAAUCAGAAAGCCACGGCUAACUACGU
RNAcentral lists this ribosomal RNA (496 nucleotides) under uncultured bacterium. RNAcentral describes it as "partial 16S ribosomal RNA". It matches the Rfam family "Bacterial small subunit ribosomal RNA", at positions 28 to 506 of the family's 1533-position model. The record is from RNAcentral.